This is a long non-coding RNA of Alexandromys fortis (reed vole), 1821 nucleotides long. RefSeq lists it as uncharacterized. NCBI's taxonomy places the organism in Eukaryota, Metazoa, Chordata, Mammalia, Rodentia, Cricetidae. The record is from RefSeq and is a predicted model, not a curated record. The transcript has 3 exons.
UGGGGGCCGGUCAGGGGAAAGGCAUUGGGGGGCAGCCGCAAGGCAGCCUGCCAACACCGUCCCACCUCUCCUUAAGCCAGACCUCAAAAGGGCAGGGCUGCGGGGGAAACGGAGAGACAUUGGGUCUUUGAAUUGAUCAUGAAGUCCAGAGCUUAUGUUACUGUUCAUAAUGGAGGGGAAUAAACGACUGUCAUAGAAUACUGCUGGGGAGGCCAAAUGAAAAGGAACCCAGAUUCUAUGCAAAAAGAGAAGAUGAAAGAAACGGGAAGCCAGCCAAGAGCCAGGGGGAAGGGCAGAGUUUGCCGAAGCCAAACGGAAGCUGGACGCAUCAAGCAAUAGGAUCUUGGCUUCUGGACCAGUGAAUUUUAUGCCUGGGCUUCGCCGGGAGGAAAGAGCGUUUAGUUCAUCCAACACAGUGGAAGCCUCUAAGUGCUGGGGACAUGAGCGUGUGCCACCUUUCCUGGCUGUUGUGGAAUCUGCAUGAAGAGAACCUUGAGCAUUGUUGACAAGAGAGAGAGCCAUGGUUCUUUAGGGGACCAUAAUGACUGUAUCUCCAGAGAAGUAUAGAUGUUCACCUUGACAUCUAUUGGGCCCUCAGGAGGCACCGGUCUUCCAGAUUCUCUUGUACAGUCUUUCCGGCCAUCAGCCAUGCUCCCACCCAGACGACUGCCGUGAACAAGGCUGGUGGCACUGUUAGGGUGUCCUGACGACGUGCAGGUGUGUCACCAUGUUUGUUGUGUCUAAGAGAUCAGGGUCUGACUUCUGGGUUUUGUAAUCCUCUGCCCCAGCCCCAGUAACUCCCAGGCAUUUCCUAAGACAGACAAAAAUGCUUGUAAAUUAAUUAGCGUCACUGACACAGGUUUACCCCAAUGCAAAGAAACGACGUCGGUCUAAAGCUGGACUUUCAAAGCUGGGGAACGUGUGGGGAGAAACACUUUCCCUUUUGUUUGACAACAGAGGAAUCUUUUUGUCCUUUUUAUUACGUGUGUGUGUGUGUGUGUGUGUGUGUGUGUGUGUGUACACGUGUAUAUGCCACGGUGUUUAUGUGACUGUCAGAAAACAUCUUUAAGGAGUUAGAGCUCUCCUUCCACCAUGUGGGUCCUGGGGAUUGAACUCAGGUCGUUGGACUUGGUGGCAAGCGUCUUUACCCACUGAGCCUUCCCACUGGCCCCUCUGAGCUGAUGAGGCUAUUGGAAUAGAAGAAUAGAAGGUUCUAACUUUGUGGAGCACCUUCCCAUAAGGCUGUCUGUCUGAAGGUUUGCAGAUCCGACAUCUUUCUGAUUAGCUGAUAAAACAGGAAAGAAUUAGGGGCUGGAGAGAUGGCUCAACAGUUAGGAGCAUAUACUGCUCUUCCCGAGGACCUGAAUUCAAUUCCUGGUGCCUGAUGUGGGUUUCCCCUCUGUAUGCUGUGAAUAUGUUUUAUUAUUACCAUUGGUUAAUAAAGAAGAUGCUUUGAGCCUAUAGCAACACAGAAUAGAGCAAGGCGGGAAUUCCAAGCAGAGAUAGAGAAGAAAAGAAGGUGGAGUCAGGGAGACACCAUGUAGCUGCCAAAAGAGAAAGACACAAGCCAUCAUCCAGAGCCUUACCACCUCGUGGUGAUUCACAGAUGAAUAGAAAUGGGUUAAUUUAAGAUAUAAGAGUUACUUAAUAAAAAGCCUAAGCUAUUGGCCAAGCAAUGUUGUAACUAAUAUAGUUUCUGUGUGAUUAUUUUGGGUCUGGGCGACCAGGAAAUGAACAAGCAGCCUCCAUCUCCAAGCACCCAUCUCACAACUGCUUGUGACUCUAGCUGAGUGGGCGGUGGUGGCGCACGCCUUUAAACCC